UGUCUUUUUGAAAAUAAUAUAAAGUCUAAUCUGCCCACUGAUUUAAAUUAAAGGGCUGCAGUAUAUUGACUGUACAAAGGUAGCAUAAUCAUUAGUCAUUUAAUUGAUGACUUGUAUGAAAGAUUGGAUGAAAUAUAAGCUGUCUCUUAAUUAAAGAUAGAAUUUAAUUUUUUAAUUAAAAAGUUAAAAUAGUUUAAAAAGACGAGAAGACCCUAUAGAGUUUUAUAAAUAAAUUAAUUAAGAUUAUUUAUUAAAAUUAAAAUUAAUUUAUUUAUUCUAUUGGGGUGAUAGAAAAAUAUAUUUAACUUUUUUUUUAUGAAAACAUUUAUAAGUGAUUAAAUGAUCCAUUAUUAAUGAUUAUAAGAAAAAAUUACCUUAGGGAUAACAGCGUAAUUUUUUUUUUUAGUUCACAUAAGAAAAAGAGUUUGCGACCUCGAUGUUGGAUUAAGAUAAAAUUUAAAUGCAGAAG
RNAcentral lists this ribosomal RNA (469 nucleotides) under Feraxinia jemjemensis. RNAcentral describes it as "partial 16S large subunit ribosomal RNA". The record is from RNAcentral. Lineage: Eukaryota; Metazoa; Arthropoda; Insecta; Lepidoptera; Noctuidae.